AUCAAGAGUCAUUCCCAGGUAUUUUGCCGUAUUUGCUGGUGGAACCAUUAUGCUAUUGAGGAAAAUGGGUUCAUGCAGCAACAUUAUCAACUGACCGUGGCAGCUUUGUCGUUGAUUCCUGCAAUGAGUCGCCUGUUGCCAGCAUUGCAGCGUCAUCCGCAAACGUGGCCAUCAUGCAGUUUGGUGUUUGGGGUAUAUCAUUUGUGUAGAGCAAGUACAGCUUGGGCUCCAGUACAUUUCGUUGAGGAACUCGGUCAAAUGCUUGUGCUACAUCUAAGAAGAUAGCAGAGCACACUUUCUUAUGCUCAAGGAAUUUUUCUAUGACGUCAGUGAUUCGGUGUACUUGGUCAAUCGUUGAAUGUGGACUACGGAACCCAAACUGAUGGGUUGAUAUUUUUUUGUGAUUGCAACCUUUUCAGAAUCAGCUUUUCAAAUAAUUUUGACAUGAUUGGUAGCAGUGAGAUUGGCCGAUAUGAUUCUACUUUAUGUGGAUUUGUGCCAGGUUUUGGAAUCAUAAUUACAUCCGAUACUUUCCAUUGUACCGGUACAUAUUUUAGUCGGAUUGACGCGUUAAUUAAUGUAGUCAAUUUUACCAAGGCUUUUCGUUGCAUUUUCUUUAGUAUUGUACCUGUGAUCAUAUCAAAACCGGGUGCUUUGUUCGGGUUUAGGUUCAUUUUAACUUCUUGACUGACUUCUUUUGUUGUAACCAGCGGAAUUGAGUCCAAGGGGUAAUUUGGAGUUAGGUUAGGCAGUUUAUCCACCCCGGUAUUAGGCAAAAAUCUAGUCUCGAGGUGUUCCGCAAAGAUCAUUGCUUUAUCGUUGAUAGUACGAGCCCAUAGUCCAUCAAUUUUUUGGAUGGGUGGCAUUUGUGUUACAGGGCGCUUUAAGUAUUUUGUUACUUUCCACAAGGAAUAUCCUGUGCUAUCAUCUACGGUUAAAUUGCUGAGAUAGUUGUUGAUUGAAGAAUUUUUCAAUGCUGCAAUCUCUCUUCUUAGUUGUUACGCGUAUUUGUUUAGGAUUGUUUUGUCGUUGGUGCCCGUGUUUGAUGCCAGCCCCUUCUUAGUUUUCGUUUUACAGCAAUCAUAUCUCUAAAUUCUUUCGGGAAGUUGAGUCCCUUAGAUUUUGUUUUAAUAAUUGGUGUGCUGUUCCAGGCGGCCUGUUGUAUAGCUGCAGUAAAAUUGUACACUUCAUCCUCUAAUUGUUCAGUCGUCUUGAGGGGGAUAUUUAGUUUAAUAUUGCUCUCCAGGAGAAUAUUGAAGUAUUGCCAGUCUGUAUAGUUGUUUGUCAAAACUGUGCUUCGGCCUUUUGUAAUAAUAUGUUCGCUGAUCGUUAAUAGAAUUGGAGAGUGGUCGGAGUUCAAAUCGUAUCUUUCAUCAAUUUUUAAAUAGUUUUCUGAAAUGUAUUUGGCUACAAAAAAGUCAAUCAGAUCUGGGGUUUUGUUUGGGUCGGUUGGCCAGUAUGUGGGUUUUCCACUGGAUAAGAAAACACAUCCGAAGUCCAUAGCAGCUUGGUAUAACUCACGCCCUUUUGCCGUAAUAAGUCUGGAUUCCCAGUGCGUGUGCUUCGCAUUAAAGUCGCCUCCAAAUAUAAAUCGUCCAUUUAGUUUCGCAAACAAUUCCAAGAACUUGUCUGCAUAUAUAUUGAAACGAGGAGGGCAGUAUAUUGCACUUAUAGUAAGUGUUUGUGCUGUUGUCAUAAGUGUUACAGUCGUUGCAUAUCAACUUGCAUAUCACAGGUCGAGCACUUUUCUUCUUCAUAAUGUUUUAUAUUAUCUCUGAUUAUUAUAGCACUUCCUCCCCGAGCUGUUUUGGCGGGGUGAAUGGUAUAUGUUGUGAAAUUUUUGAAUUUAAUAUGUGAUUCUGUUGUGAAAUGUGUUUCAGAAAUCAAGCAAAUAUCAAUAUUUUCAAAACUUAGGAUUGCCUGCAGCAGGAAAUUAGGCAUUAUUGAUGUUGGAUUCAAUUUUAUCUAACCGCUGCAUGAUUUGCUGCAACAUUGAUUCUAUUGAGUUUUGUGGUUUACCUUUUGUUUUGUCACUGUAGGAUGGUUUCGGAACUGCAGAGUUUCCAUUUGCUGGUUGUUCUGGGAGAGUGUUUGGGUGUGAAUUGGUGCUUUUUGCGUUUUCUCUUCCACUUUGGCGGAGGGACCCUGACUGUGUUGGUUUUUUGUGAGACUUAUUUCUGUAUUUUAGUAUCUCUUUGUAGACUUCACAUCCACGAUAAUUUGCCGGAUGAUUCUCUCCGCAGUGUACGCAUUUUGGAUCAGCGUUUGGUGGCUUAUUGGAAUCCUGUGUAGGGUGAGAUUUUCUACACUUUGCGCACCUGGGGGUUUUGUGGCAGAAGUUGUGUGUGUGUCCAUAUUGUUGGCAACGUUUACAUUGUGGUGUGAAUUUAUUUCUUCUCAGUGGUUAUAUUUAAUCGAUUUCUGUUUUAUUAUCAAAUGACACAAUAAACAUGUUUAGUGGUACUGUUUCUUGAAUAUGAUUGGCUCGCCUUUCCUUUUUCUGUUCUGAAAAAAUUGACAGAAUGUAUGACAAAAUUGAAGACAACAACAAAAUUAUGAACGAAAUGAGAGAUAAAUUGGACGACAACGCUAAGAAAUUUGAAGACUUGAAGACAACCGUUGAAGACACACUAAAGAACAUCGAGGAAGACAGUGUCAAGCUCCAGAAGAUUCUGAAAGAAGACAAUACGAAGUUUCAGAACGAUGUUAGAGAUGAAAAUAUCAAGUUUUAAGACAAAGUUGAUGAAAAUAUCUGUCGAUUUCACGCACAUGUGGAAGAAGAAAUAAUCAAAAUUAGACAAAAAUAUUCCACAUAUUUAUGCCAAUUUGAAGCCUCUGCAUUAUUUAACGGGUGGAAUGAUCAGGAGAAGGCAACAACACGUAUUAUUUCCCUACGAGGCGAAGCACCGGAAAUUUUACGAUCAAUACCACAAGAUGACCGUAAGAACCAUCAGGCCACGCUCGAAAUUUUUUAAAUGAGGUAUGGUGAUACACAUUUGAAAGAAGUCUACAAAACCCAGCUU
This is a long non-coding RNA of Dendroctonus ponderosae (mountain pine beetle), 3023 nucleotides long. RefSeq lists it as uncharacterized. Lineage: Eukaryota; Metazoa; Arthropoda; Insecta; Coleoptera; Curculionidae. The transcript has 2 exons. The record is from RefSeq and is a predicted model, not a curated record.